RNAcentral lists this ribosomal RNA (1240 nucleotides) under Anteholosticha multicirrata. Its description in RNAcentral is "partial 28S ribosomal RNA". It matches the Rfam family "Eukaryotic large subunit ribosomal RNA", at positions 25 to 1256 of the family's 3401-position model. The record is from RNAcentral. Lineage: Eukaryota; Ciliophora; Spirotrichea; Urostylida; Holostichidae.
CCGCUGAACUUAAGCAUAUCACUAAGCGGAGGAAAAGAAAUUAACUAAGAUUGCCUCAGUAACGGCGAGUGAAGCGGCAAAAGCCCAAAGUGGUAAUCUUCACGUUUCACGUGACGAAUUGUAAUCUACAGGAGGGAUUCUCAACAGGAUGUGACGCAGAAGUACCCUAGAAUGGGUCGCCAAAGAGGGUGACAGCCCCGUAUGUGGUGUUGCGUCCUAACGAGAACCUUUCAACGAGUCGGGUUGUUUGGGAAUGCAGCCCUAAUUGGGAGAUACACUUCUUCUAAGGCUAAAUACUAAUGGGAAACCGAUAGCAAACAAGUACUGUGAAGGAAAGAUGAAAAGAACUUUGAAAAGAGAGUCAAAAGACUUGAAAUCGUUGAGAAGGAAGCGGUAGAAAUUUAUUCUGUUGGCUUGAAUGAAGGUGUUCGCCUAAACAUUGCGGGCUAAAGUACUUAAUCGGCUUUGGUUCGUACUUGCGGAAGUGAUAGCUGGAUUCAAGUUAAUGAGGCAAAAUGGGGUUUCUUAGGGAUAAAAGCUUAGUAUACCUGGGGAGGUUCGCCUUUCAGUAUAUUUGUGCUAGUGUCUAGGAAGCCUGAGGGUGCUUUUGCGAUUUUGCUAAAAUGGUUUUUACCGACCCGUCUCGAAACACGGACCAAGGAGUCUAUCAUAUAUGCAAGUGUGCUGGUGGAAAAACCAACACGCGUAAUGAAGGUAAUUGAUGCCAAGCGCAAGCAGCAGCAUCGACCGACCAUGAUUCUUUGAUGAAAGGUUUGAGUAUGAGCAUAUAUGCUAGGACCCGAAAGAUGGUGAACUAUGCCUGGGUAGGGUGAAGCCAGGGGAAACUCUGGUGGAAGCUCGAAGCGAUUCUGACGUGCAAAUCGAUCGUCUAACUUGGGUAUAGGGGCGAAAGACUAAUCGAACCAUCUAGUAGCUGGUUCCCUCCGAAGUUUCCCUUAGGAUAGCUGAGACAAUAACGCAGUUUUAUCAGGUAAAGCGAAUGAUUAGAGGAAUCGGGGGUAAAUUGCCCUUGACCUAUUCUCAAACUUUAAAUUGGUAAGAACCUUGGCCUUUCUUAAGUGAGGCACAAGGGAUCAAUGCUUGUCUCAAGUGGGCCAUUUUUGGUAAGCAGAACUGGCGAUGAGGGUUGCUCCUAACGUUGAGUUAAGGUGCCUAACUACACGCUCAUCAGAAACUACAAAGGGUGUUGGUUCAUCCAGACAGCAGGACGGUGGCCAUG